CCUACGGGUGGCAGCAGUGAGGAAUAUUGGUCAAUGGACGAGAGUCUGAACCAGCCAAGUAGCGUGAAGGAUGACUGCCCUAUGGUUUGUAGACUUCUUUUAUAUGGGAAUAAAAUGUUCCACGUGUGGGAUUUUGUAUGUACCAUUUGAAUAAGGAUCGGCUAACUCCGUGCCAGCAGCCGCGGUAAUACGGAGGCUCCGAGCGUUAUCCGGAUUUAUUGGGUUUAAAGGGAGCGUAGGUGGAUUGUUAAGUCAGUUGUGAAAGUUUGCGGCUCAACCGUAAAAUUGCAGUUGAAACUGGCAGUCUGGAGUACAGUAGAGGUGGGCGGAAUUCGUGGUGUAGCGGUGAAAUGCUUAGAUAUCACGAAGAACUCCGAUUGCGAAGGCAGCUCACUGGACUGCAACUGACACUGAGGCUCGAAAGUGUGGGUAUCAAACAGGAUUAGAUACCCUAGUAGUC
RNAcentral lists this ribosomal RNA (460 nucleotides) under uncultured bacterium. RNAcentral describes it as "partial 16S ribosomal RNA". It matches the Rfam family "Bacterial small subunit ribosomal RNA", at positions 338 to 795 of the family's 1533-position model. The record is from RNAcentral.